ACGCACGCUGGCGGCGUGCUUAACACAUGCCAGUCGCACGGAAAGGCCCUGCUUUUGUGGGGUGCUCGAGUGGCGAACGGGUGAGUAACACGUGAGUAACCUGCCCUUGACUUUGGGAUAACUUCAGGAAACUGGGGCUAAUACCGGAUAGGAGCUCCUGCUGCAUGGUGGGGGUUGGAAAGUUUCGGCGGUUGGGGAUGGACUCGCGGCUUAUCAGCUUGUUGGUGGGGUAGUGGCUUACCAAGGCUUUGACGGGUAGCCGGCCUGAGAGGGUGACCGGCCACAUUGGGACUGAGAUACGGCCCAGACUCCUACGGGAGGCAGCAGUGGGGAAUAUUGCACAAUGGGCGGAAGCCUGAUGCAGCAACGCCGCGUGCGGGAUGACGGCCUUCGGGUUGUAAACCGCUUUCGCCUGUGACGAAGCGUGAGUGACGGUAAUGGGUAAAGAAGCACCGGCUAACUACGUG
RNAcentral lists this ribosomal RNA (467 nucleotides) under uncultured bacterium. RNAcentral's name for it is "partial 16S ribosomal RNA". It matches the Rfam family "Bacterial small subunit ribosomal RNA", at positions 29 to 507 of the family's 1533-position model. The record is from RNAcentral.